UCAUCAUCAUAAUAGUCAUCAUCAUAGAAGGAAUAGUCCUUAUCAUCAUCGCCAUAGUCCUUUUCAUUAUCAUCAUCAUCAUCAUCAUAGUCCUUAUCAUCAUCAUCAUCAUCAUCAUCAUCAUCAUCAUCAUCAUCAUCAUCGUAGUCCUUAUCAUCAUCAUAGUCCUUAUCAUCAUCAUCAUCAUAGUCCUUAUCAUCAUCAUCAUAGUCCUUUUCAUUAUCAUCAUCGUCAUCAUAGUCCUUUUCAUCAUCAUCAUCAUCAUCAUCAUCAUCAUCACCAUUGUCCUCCUCCUCCUCAUCAUCAUCAUCAUAGUCCUCCUCCUCCUCCUCCUCCUCAUCAUAGCCCUUAUCAUCAUCAUAGUCCGUAUCAUCAUUAUCAUCAUCAUCAUCAUCAUAAUAAUCCUCAUCAUCAUAUUCAUUUUCAUUAUCAUCAUCAUCAUCAUAGUCCUUUUCAUUAUCGUCAUCAUCAUCAUAGUCUUUUUCGUUAUCAUCAUCAUCAUCAUCAUAGUCCUUAUCAUCAUCAUCAUAGUCCUCAUCAUCAUCAUCAUCAUCACCAUCAUCAUUUUCUCCUCCUCAUCAUCAUAGUCCUUAUCAUCAUCAUCAUAGUCCUUAUAAUCAUUAUCGUAGUCCUUUUCAUUAUCAUCAUCAUCAUCAUAGUCCUUUUCAUCAUCAUCAUCAUCAUCAUAGUCCUUAUCAUCGUCAUCAUAGUCCUCAUCAUCAUCAUCAUUGUCCUCCUCAUCAUCAUCAUCAUAGUCCUCCUCCUCCUCCUCCUCAUCAGAGUUCUUAUCAUCAUCAUUGUCCUCCUCAUCAUCAUCAUUAUCAUCAUAGUCCUCAUCAUCAUCAUCAUUGUCCUCCUCAUCAUCAUCAUCAUAGUCCUCCUCCUCCUCCUCCUCAUCAGAGUUCUUAUCAUCAUCAUUGUCCUCCUCAUCAUCAUCAUUAUCAUCAUAGUCCUCAUCAUCAUCAUCAUUGUCCUCCUCAUCAUCAUCAUCAUAGUCCUCCUCCUCCUCCUCAUCAUAGUCCUUAUCAUCAUCAUUAUCCUCCUCAUCAUCAUCAUCAUCAUCAUAGUCCUCCUCCUCCUCCUCCUCCUCAUCAUAGUCCUUAUCAUCAUCAUCAUCAUCAUUAUAAAUUGUAUUUCAAUGUUUAAGGACUCUUGGAAGAUUAGUUCAAAUGGGGACUAAAAGAGAUCCAAAUCAAAUCAAAUCAA
Molecule: long non-coding RNA, 1206 nt
Filed under: Oncorhynchus kisutch (coho salmon)
Lineage: Eukaryota; Metazoa; Chordata; Actinopteri; Salmoniformes; Salmonidae
Description: lncRNA (ENSOKIG00005022001.1)
Source: RNAcentral